Daphnia magna is the source of this 658-nucleotide long non-coding RNA. RefSeq lists it as uncharacterized. The transcript is spliced from 3 exons. Lineage: Eukaryota; Metazoa; Arthropoda; Branchiopoda; Diplostraca; Daphniidae. The record is from RefSeq and is a predicted model, not a curated record.
GGCAGAUACCAGCAAUAGCCGUUGUUCGAAUUUUCCCCCCCCGUAGAAGCAGACGCCAUUAUUGUGUCAAAGUCAGUUCAAUAAAUCAGUGAUAGAACCUGCCUAAGUUUAACCUUCAAAAGUAUUUAAUCGCAGUUUGUCACACACUACUCUAUGGGCAAUGCUCCCUAGGCAAAGACCAUAUACCUUCGAAGAGCACCAGAAGAUGAGAUACCUGUGGAAGAUCAGGAGGUUAGGAGAGUUCCACGCACAAGUCAAGUUUGGGGAACGACCUUAUCCACUACAACCUACACCUAGCAGGCCUUAUCAACCUCUACCACCUGGAGUGCACAUUGACGAGAAGCUGGCCUUCUAUGAAACUGGAUAUUAUAAUGUGGCCAUCAGAUAUCUGCCUCGCAAGGAUGCUGUAGCAAUCACCAAUCUGCAAGUUAAUGCAGACUAUGCCAAAUAUCUAGAAUCACUGAAGCCAGAAGACCAACGACAGCCAAUAGUUGUGGUAGAAGAGCAGCAACCACAGUCACAACCACAGUCAGAAUUCUAAGCAAGUGUGGCAAGAAGACAUCAUCAAGAAGUUUUAUGUUAACUAAGUUGAAUUUUAAUCUCAAGUCGUUAAAGGUGUGCGACUACGCAAAAAUACAGUCUUUUGUUUCUUCUUAAA